Molecule: ribosomal RNA, 590 nt
Filed under: uncultured bacterium
Lineage: Bacteria
Description: bacterial SSU rRNA
Rfam family: Bacterial small subunit ribosomal RNA
Source: RNAcentral
AAGAACGCUGGCGGCUGCCUAAACAUGCAAGUCGAACGCUCACCGGGGUUUCGGCUCUGGUGGGAGUGGCGCACGGGUGAGUAGCGCGUGGGAACCUGCCCUUUUGUGGGGGAUAACCGAGGGAAACUUCGGCUAAUACCGCAUGCGCCCCUGGGGCGACCUGGGGGGAAAGAUUUAUCGCAGGAGGAGGGGCCCGCGUCGGAUUAGGUAGUUGGUGGGGUAACGGCCUACCAAGCCGAUGAUCCGUAGCUGGUCUGAGAGGAUGAUCAGCCACACUGGGACUGAGACACGGCCCAGACUCCUACGGGAGGCAGCAGUGGGGAAUAUUGGACAAUGGGCGCAAGCCUGAUCCAGCAAUGCCGCGUGAGUGAUGAAGGCCUUCGGGUUGUAAAGCUCUUUCGCCCGCGACGAUGAUGACGGUAGCGGGAGAAGAAGCCCCGGCUAACUUCGUGCCAGCAGCCGCGGUAAUACGAAGGGGGCGAGCGUUGUUCGGAAUCACUGGGCGUAAAGGGCGCGUAGGCGGCUCUGUUUGUCGCGUGUGAAAGCCCCGGGCUCAACCUGGGAGGUGCGCGCGAAACGGCGGGGCUGGA